AAAUACAGCUUCUUGAAAAAGGGACACGCCCGUGUGCCACGGUCGUGUGAUGUGAUUGCCAAGCCAUGUUCGAUCUGUUAAAUUGCACACGGCCGUGUGGGUCAAUAGCCAGGCCAUGUGAAUCGUGAAAGCCUUGGUCGACACCCUCGAAAGACACGGGCGUGUGAGCUGCCCGUGUGGCAAGGCUUAGGCCGUGUCAUCUUCUUGAUUUGGUCCGUUUUGUCCC
Molecule: long non-coding RNA, 226 nt
Filed under: Gossypium barbadense (sea-island cotton)
Lineage: Eukaryota; Viridiplantae; Streptophyta; Magnoliopsida; Malvales; Malvaceae
Description: long non-coding RNA (GBAR_LNC006008)
Source: RNAcentral